This 76-nucleotide transfer RNA is filed under the name Chloroflexota bacterium. RNAcentral's name for it is "Chloroflexi bacterium tRNA-Trp". It matches the Rfam family "tRNA". Rfam says of the family: Transfer RNA (tRNA) molecules are approximately 80 nucleotides in length. Their secondary structure includes four short double-helical elements and three loops (D, anti-codon, and T loops). Lineage: Bacteria; Bacillati; Chloroflexota. The record is from RNAcentral. RNAcentral also lists the same sequence under 1 other name.
AGGGGCGUAGCUCAAUUGGUAGAGCACUGGUCUCCAAAACCAGCGGUUGCAGGUUCGAGUCCUGUCGCCCCUGCCA